GUGGGGAAUUUUGGACAAUGGGCGCAAGCCUGAUCCAGCAAUGCCGCGUGCAGGAAGAAGGCCUUCGGGUUGUAAACUGCUUUUGUACGGAACGAAACGGUCCGGGUUAAUACCUUGGGCUAAUGACGGUACCGUAAGAAUAAGCACCGGCUAACUACGUGCCAGCAGCCGCGGUAAUACGUAGGGUGCAAGCGUUAAUCGGAAUUACUGGGCGUAAAGCGUGCGCAGGCGGUUUUGUAAGACAGGCGUGAAAUCCCCGGGCUCAACCUGGGAAUUGCGCUUGUGACUGCAAGGCUGGAGUGCGGCAGAGGGGGAUGGAAUUCCGCGUGUAGCAGUGAAAUGCGUAGAUAUGCGGAGGAACACCGAUGGCGAAGGCAAUCCCCUGGGCCUGCACUGACGCUCAUGCACGAAAGCGUGGGGAGCAAACAGGAUUAGAAACCCCGGUAGUCC
This 450-nucleotide ribosomal RNA is filed under the name uncultured bacterium. Its description in RNAcentral is "bacterial SSU rRNA". It matches the Rfam family "Bacterial small subunit ribosomal RNA", at positions 354 to 796 of the family's 1533-position model. The record is from RNAcentral.